GUAGACUGACAGUUUACUGGUCACCUGCACUAACAGCCUGAGAGAAAAGGACACUGCAUAUCACAGAGAGAUGCAUAGAUGUUACACUCAGAAAGAGAGUGAACAACUAGAAGAUGUGGAAGAAAAUUCCAAGGGCCAAUUUUGAAACAAACCAGGCAGAGACCCAGAUGCAGAAUCCUGCAGGCUGAGGGAUGUUAGGAAGAGUUAGCCCACCACUGCUGCGCUGAAACCAGGAUGACGCAAACUGGGCCUCAGGCCAGGUGUAUUCCUUGGAGUAUAACUGAAGGUUUACUUGGUAAUUCUAUGUUUAACUUUUUUUGGAACUUCUGGACUAUCUUCCAAAGCAACAGUACCAUUGUACAUUUUCACCAGCCACGUAUGACAGUCACACUCUCUCCACAUUCUUGCCAAAACUUGUUAUCAUUUUUCAAAUAAAAGACAGCCUAGUGUGUAUCUGAAA
This 460-nucleotide long non-coding RNA is filed under the name Homo sapiens (human). RNAcentral describes it as "long intergenic non-protein coding RNA 1360". Lineage: Eukaryota; Metazoa; Chordata; Mammalia; Primates; Hominidae. The record is from RNAcentral.